RNAcentral lists this ribosomal RNA (499 nucleotides) under uncultured bacterium. Its description in RNAcentral is "partial 16S ribosomal RNA". It matches the Rfam family "Bacterial small subunit ribosomal RNA", at positions 899 to 1397 of the family's 1533-position model. The record is from RNAcentral.
ACUCAAAUGAAUUGACGGGGACCCGCACAAGCAGUGGAGCAUGUGGUUUAAUUCGAUGCUACGCGAAAAACCUUACCAACCUUUGAAUCCCGAUCACCGUUACAGAAAUGUAUCUUUGGAGCAAUCCAGAUCGGAGACAGGUGCUGCAUGGCUGUCGUCAGCUCGUGUCGUGAGAUGUUAGGUUAAGUCCUUUAACGAGCGCAACCCUCAUCCUUAUUUGCCAUCGGGUCAUGCCGGGAACUAUAAGGAAACUGCCGGCGACAAGCUGGAGGAAGGUGGGGAUGAUGUCAAGUCAUCAUGGCCUUUAUAGGUUGGGCUACACACAUGCUACAAUGGUGGUUACAGCAGGAAGCGAAAGAGCAAUCUGGAGCAAAUCCCAAAAAGCCAUCUCAGUUCGGAUUGGGGGCUGCAACUCGCCCCCAUGAAGUUGGAAUUGCUAGUAAUCGUGGAUCAGCACGCCACGGUGAAUACGUUCUCGGGUCUUGUACACACCGCCCGU